This is a long non-coding RNA of Arvicola amphibius (Eurasian water vole), 1629 nucleotides long. RefSeq lists it as uncharacterized. The transcript has 2 exons. NCBI's taxonomy places the organism in Eukaryota, Metazoa, Chordata, Mammalia, Rodentia, Cricetidae. The record is from RefSeq and is a predicted model, not a curated record.
CCGUCCCGCUCCAGACGCGCGCCGGAGAGCAAGCAAGAGCGCUCGCUAGGCCCGCGCCCGCUGCCACCGCCGCCGUGCAGGCGACCGCUGUCAGCCAACACUGCACCCGGGGGGGCGGGAGAGCGGAGCCGCCGGCUGUCGGCCCAAAGAAUCGCCCGGUUCCCGCACGCGAUGUUAGAGACAAGGGUCCUGAAGCUAUACCUCGGACACCUCGUCCUCGUCGCUCCCAGAAGCGCCGCCGCCGCCGCCCGUCCUCAGCACGGCAGCCGCCAACUUGAAAUCCAGCGCCGCGUCCCCUCCGCCUGCGCCGCCGCCGCCGCCACCACCGACUCCCUGCGCGGGCCCAGCCUCCCCAAAGAGCCUCACGGUGCGGAUUCCCAGCCCGACCCCUCCCGGCGGAGGAGGCUCCGAGGCCCCAGCUGGGGCGGAUCGCGGAGCUACGGAGUCCAAAUCCUCCUCGAAGGAGGUGCCGCCACCCCCGCUGUCCGUCAGCAUGGUUCGCACGCGGAGCCGGGGACGCCGCCGCCGCCGCCGAGUCACUCGCGGCCACCGCCGCGGCGGAUCCCAGGAAGGUGAGGAGCAGCAGGAGGAAGAAGCGUCUCCGUGCCCCCCCACCCCGUCCCAGCAGCGCCACUAACUUCUCACUGCCUAACCUGCUGCCUCCCGCCCCUGCGACUCAUCACUGGUCGCGACUCCCAGGCGCCCGCGAACCAUUGGCCACAGCGAGCUGUCGCUCACGCUCGCCGUCACGCGCUGCUAGCUGGCUCUCGGCCGCCAAGCUGCGUUGACCCGCGCAGGCCUAGGCGGUUGUGAACGCCCGCCUCCUCCGCCUCCCGCGCAGACUUCCGGUCUUCGCCUCUGCCCAUUGGCCGGCCUCCGUGACUAGCGACUCACGACCUUAGAGCGGAUUAGUUGGCCCGGCGGUCACUCAGGAGGAACCCUAACAAUGGGGAACUCAAUUGGCGCCAGGGACUGUCGGUCAUUUUGUCACGGGACGUCGCGUGGUACAAUUGGCCUGCGGGGAUCUUGUUCGUCCCGCCCCCAUCUGAGGUGACGGGAAAGGGCUGGGGAAUUUCCACCGCUCGUUAAGAGGAGGGCUGAAGUGAAACCCCGCAAGAAUUAACAAAACACGAAGUAAACCUAACCCUUGGCUUGGAGAGUCUUGUGCGUCCACGGUGCAGGAGGCGUCGAGGUAACAAAGUAGCUCCCACCUGUCGCUCUCCCGCGGGCGCCGCGGCUACGGCCGGAAGUGGCUGCGCGGGGAUUGGCGGAAAGAAGCAGUCAGUCUCCGCGAAGCCCCGUCUUCCUGCCAUUUCCCGGUUGGAGGCCCGCGACGUCAGUCACCGCGGCAGGCUCCGCCUCUGGGACAGGGCACUUUGUGCAUGCCUGGUGCUCAAGAAGGCUAGAAGAGGGCGCUGGAUCCCCGGGAACUGGAGUUAGAAUGGUUAUAGUUGCCGUGUGGAAGCUGCCGUGUGGAAGCUGCCGUGUGGAAGCUGCUGUGUGGAAGCUGGUCGUCAUACUCAGGUCCUCUGGAAGAACUGCAAGAGUCUUAAUUGCUGAACCAUCUCUCCAGUCCCUAAAAAACAUAUGUACUCUUCAAGUUUAAAUAUUCUUAAGUUUAUAUACAAA